Panicum virgatum (switchgrass) is the source of this 3031-nucleotide long non-coding RNA. RefSeq lists it as uncharacterized. The record is from RefSeq and is a predicted model, not a curated record. Lineage: Eukaryota; Viridiplantae; Streptophyta; Magnoliopsida; Poales; Poaceae. The transcript is spliced from 3 exons.
GCAUGUGUGUGCAUGCCCUGUUAUCCCAACAAAUGGUGCAAAUGGUAGGUUAUAUCUGUUUGUCAUGUACGUAGUGUCAAAGCUCACACAUUCACCAUAUUCUGCAUACCACUUUAGUGAUAUUCCUUCCCUCCAGAAAAGAUUUUUGACCUUCAUGUCAUUGUCCACUUGGAACCUGUAGUAGAAUGUUGGAUCUUCUGCUUUUCUUUUUCUGAAGUAGUCCAUUGCUUGUGUCAUGUCAUUACCUGUAACCUCUCUGUUAAUUUUUGUUCUCAGAUUUUGCACAUCUUUUGUCUUGUAUGGCAGUGCUGUCAAUCCUCCUCUCAGGUAAGACAGGAUAGCUAUCAUUUUUCUUGUAGGUAUAUUGUUGUCAUUGAGUGUCCUUAUUAUCCCUUUCUCCAUAUCUGUCAUGUAUUUUUUCCCACUGAACAACUGAUUUCUCCUCUAUGGGCUGAGCUCAUGGUUGUGGUCUAAAUCAAGUCUAAUAAUUUUCCAGACCCCCAAUGUUUCCUUAACCACCAUCACACACUUGCAGUCUGUCUUGACCUGUACAUUUGUUUUUCUUUUGGUCUUGUCCUUCCUAUUGCCAUCCUCCAUCAUAGUUUCUUCUGUGUUUUCUUCUUCAGAUUUCUUUUCUUGCUUCCCAUAGCGAUGACAUUUCAUUUCUUGCUUGUAUAUCUCCUUGUUCCUGUUCUUUGCUGAUGUUCUAGCUACAUGUGAAACAACUACUUGAAAUCCAGCUAGAAACCCAUAAAAUGAGAAGAAAUGAUUGGCAUCAUCUCUGCUUUUAAAUUCUUGUCCAAUCUGAGGUGUGUAUUUGCUGUCUAUGUCCGCAUUGUUCCCUUCUGCUGCAGCUUGCUGCUCACUCUUUAGAAAUUCUUCUAUUUCCUCCUCUGUCAGUGGUUGGCUGCCAUUUGUAUCAUUUUCAUCAUGCUGUCCUUCAUUUAUCUGCAUUGAUGUAGUUGAUGUUUCAUCCUGGGCAUUUCCACCUGCAUGCAGCUGAUAUGAAUUUUUUUCAGUUCCAGUUUUUUGUCUUAUAUCUUAUCUUAACAAGCUCAUUAUUUGUACCCUAUAUUAUAUUAUAUGAUUAUAAGUUGCAUUACCUCUUGUAAACUGAUUGUGCUGAAAAUUUCAUGUUGACAUACUCCAUCAUCCAUUGUUAUGUCAUUUUCCUCUUCCUCAUGUCUCCCCGUCUGAUCUCUCUGAAAUAGUCAGGUUCAUUAACUUAUUUCCAUUGUGGCAGUAAUUAAUUUUUAUAAAACAUAGACAUUAUUUAUCUAAUUUUAACCUGAAAACUUGCCAUGCCGUCUAUGUUUGGGGCCAUCUCUUUAUCUUCUCCUUGACUCUGCAUUGUGGUUAUCCUCAUUGACUCUUCAUCCUGUGUCUCAUUCAUGUCAUUGUUAUUUGAUCCAUUUGUGCUACUCUGUAUCUGCAAAUUCUGCAUGUCACAUUUUUUUGUGCACAUUAACAAUAUAUAGUAUUAAUAGAAUAUGUGAUAUAUUUAUUUCCUUUGUUUCUUACCCGUGAUACAUGUUUGCCUUUCAGCAUCUCCAAAUAUUGUUGAUACUCAUCCUGAUCAGAUACAUACAGUAAACUUAAGUUAAACUUACAGUCUACAUUUGCAAGAAUUUUAAUAAAUCUACACUGUCAUUUCAUUCGCAAACAUCUUUUUCAUUUGUUUUGUACCUGGCUAUUGGUUAGAGAGCUUUCAUCUUCUUGUGAUAGUUUGAUCUGAUCCAUCAACAGUCCUGUGUAGAAUCCCUGAAAUCAUAUAUAUGUUAAUUUAUAGAUCUUGUUAAUUUUUUUCUUCAGAUUUGUUGUUUCUAUCUGUUUUGGAUCAAUCAAGCAGGAUAUACAUGCAUGAAUGAAAAGAUAAGUUGUUCUUUCUUACCUGCCCAAGCUGUUGGUUUGUGUUUGUUAAUUGCAAACUGUUUGCAUUGAUGAUGCUGUCUAGUUCAUCUGUCCAUGUUUGAUUCAAAAGCCCUGUUGAACUUAAUUCAUAAUUGAACAUUGGAAAUCUAUCUGUAUGCUGACCUUGAUUUCCACUGUCUUUGGUCCAUGUUCCUGUUCCCGUUCCAAUUUCCUGUAAUCAAACAUGAUAAAAUUAGACAUGUUUCUAAUCUGUUAUGAUCAGAUCCUAUAUUCUCUUUUUCAUAACCACACUAGAUCUACUUGUUUCUUUUCCAUAUUUUUCAAGAUUCAACAGAUAGUCUACUUACUUCAUACUGGUAGUUGCUUUGGCUUGAUGAAAUCCUCAAUUCUGCAGGGAAUUGCAUCAACUGGUUUUGUUGAUUUGGCCCCUCUCCAGAUCUAUCUGCUUCAUCCCCAUCUUUCUCUUUCAUCUGGACAGCAGAUCCAGUUUUUUGACGCCUGGAUAGCAGAGCACGAGACGUGCUCCUCCUUUGUGUACGUGGAAAAGAUAAUUUGACUACAAGGAGUACGGUGUCAAGAAACUUCUACUUUUUUGAUCAUGGAAGGCCUCAACAAGUUAUCUGAGCUUAAGCCAGAUGCUUUUAGGAGGGAUCUUGUUCUCAUGCGGCGUGAAAAUUUCACUUAUCUUGGAAUUGAAGAAGGCUCUCAGACAUGUCUAGUUUUGGCAUGGUCAAAGGAAACCAAUCAAACUGAUCGGCAUAUGCUGACUGUUCGUGCUUUGCAGCGCCUUGUUGGAUCAAAGCAAGUUCCUAACUAUCGCAUUGCUCCCGAUCCUUCCCGUAACUUUGGUUUUAUUUUGUGCCCUGACGAGGACAAGGCCGAAAGACUUCGUGGGCACUAUGCCAGAGUUGGCAAUGAGAAGAUCUUUUUUGAUAUUGUCUCUAGUGUGGGGUACAUGCCUUAUCUUGAUGAUGUCAACCUGCAUCCAAGAGUGUCCAAGAUGAUUUGAGAUGAAGCUAUGAAUUGCUGGCCCUACAGCCCUGCAAACUUUGAUGCCUUAUCUAGUAGUUUUAUAUUUAGUUGUUCAAACUAUGAUCUUUUGUAAUAUGAAUGAUCUACUAUUGCACUUUUUAAAUUAUUAGUUAAAACUCUGAUGCCA